RNAcentral lists this long non-coding RNA (229 nucleotides) under Lathyrus oleraceus (garden pea). RNAcentral's name for it is "Pisum sativum (pea) long non-coding RNA (PSAT_LNC033642)". Lineage: Eukaryota; Viridiplantae; Streptophyta; Magnoliopsida; Fabales; Fabaceae. The record is from RNAcentral.
AUUUAAAUAAAGAAGAGCUGAAAGAAUGGAAAAGAAGAAGGCAUUUGGUGUUACAAGGAAACUCGGUAAUUGGUGAUUCUAAGCAGGGUAGAGAAUACAUGAAUUGGUUUUUAUCAAUUCCUUUUAUGCACGUUGCUCCGACACAAUUUUUGGAUGAUCCCCGUCAACGUGUAGCUUCUUCAACCCAACACACAACAUCACCCCCACAACAAGAUAACCAACCAUCAUC